Molecule: ribosomal RNA, 253 nt
Filed under: uncultured bacterium
Lineage: Bacteria
Description: partial 16S ribosomal RNA
Rfam family: Bacterial small subunit ribosomal RNA
Source: RNAcentral
UACGGAGGGUGCAAGCGUUAUCCGGAUUCACUGGGCGUAAAGCGUGCGCAGGCGGUCUUUUAAGUCAGAUGUGAAAUCCCCGGGCUUAACCUGGGAACUGCGUUUGAAACUGGAAGGCUAGAGUGUGGCAGAGGGGGGUGGAAUUCCACGUGUAGCAGUGAAAUGCGUAGAGAUGUGGAGGAACACCGAUGGCGAAGGCAGCCCCCUGGGCUAACACUGACGCUCAUGCACGAAAGCGUGGGGAGCAAACAGG